This 527-nucleotide ribosomal RNA is filed under the name uncultured archaeon. RNAcentral describes it as "bacterial SSU rRNA". It matches the Rfam family "Archaeal small subunit ribosomal RNA", at positions 1 to 534 of the family's 1478-position model. The record is from RNAcentral.
UUCCGGNUGAUCCUGCCGGAGGUUACUCCUUUCGAGGUUCGACUAAGCCAUGCGAGUCGAAUGCCGCAAGGCAUGGCGUACUGCUCAGUAACACGUGGACAACCUACCCUUAGGACUGGGAUAACCCCGGGAAACUGGGAAUAAUCCCCGAUAGUCCUCGAAGGCUGGAAUGCAUCGAGGGCGAAAGCUCCGGCGCCUAAGGAUGGGUCUGCGGCCUAUCAGGUAGUAGUGGGUGUAGCGUACCUACUAGCCUACGACGGGUACGGGUUGUGAGAGCAAGAGCCCGGAGAUGGAUUCUGAGACACGAAUCCAGGCCCUACGGGGUGCAGCAGGCGCGAAAACUUUACAAUGCUGGCAACAGCGAUAAGGGAACCUCGAGUGCCAGGUUACAAAUCUGGCUGUCGAGAUGCCUAAAAAGCAUUUCAUAGCAAGGGCCGGGCAAGACCGGUGCCAGCCGCCGCGGUAACACCGGCGGCUCGAGUGGUAACCGUUAUUAUUGGGUCUAAAGGGUCUGUAGCCGGCCGGAU